GAUGAACGCUGGCGGCGUGCCUAAUACAUGCCAGUCGAGCGAACGGACGAGAGGCUUGCUUCUCUGAUGUUAGCGGCGGAAGGGUGAGUAACACGUGGAUAACCUACCUAUAAGACUGGGAUAACUUCGGGAAACCGGAGCUAAUACCGGAUAAUAUUAUGAACCGCAUGGUUCAAAAGUGAAAGACGGUCUUGCUGUCACUUAUAGAUGGAUCCGCGCUGCAUUAGCUAGUUGGUAAGGUAACGGCUUACCAAGGUAACGAUGCAUAGCCGACCUGAGAGGGUGAUCGGCCACACUGGAACUGAGACACGGUCCAGACUCCUACGGGAGGCAGCAGUAGGGAAUCUUCCGCAAUGGGCGAAAGCCUGACGGAGCAACGCCGCGUGAGUGAUGAAGGUCUUCGGAUCGUAAAACUCUGUUAUUAGGGAAGAACAUAUGUGUAAGUAACUGUGCACAUCUUGACGGUACCUAAUCAGAAAGCCACGGCUAACUACGUG
This 497-nucleotide ribosomal RNA is filed under the name uncultured bacterium. Its description in RNAcentral is "partial 16S ribosomal RNA". It matches the Rfam family "Bacterial small subunit ribosomal RNA", at positions 28 to 507 of the family's 1533-position model. The record is from RNAcentral.